RNAcentral lists this ribosomal RNA (253 nucleotides) under uncultured bacterium. RNAcentral's name for it is "partial 16S ribosomal RNA". It matches the Rfam family "Bacterial small subunit ribosomal RNA", at positions 524 to 776 of the family's 1533-position model. The record is from RNAcentral.
UACAGAGGGUGCGAGCGUUGUCCGGAAUCACUGGGCGUAAAGGGCGCGUAGGCGGUGGCUUAAGCGUGUGGUGAAAGCUCAGGGCUCAACCCUGAGUCGGCCGUGCGAACUGGGUCACUGGAGCAUGUCAGAGGCAGGCGGAAUUCCGGGUGUAGCGGUGGAAUGCGUAGAGAUCCGGAAGAACACCGGUGGCGAAGGCGGCCUGCUGGGACAUUGCUGACGCUGAGGCGCGACAGCGUGGGGAGCAAACAGG